RNAcentral lists this long non-coding RNA (971 nucleotides) under Homo sapiens (human). RNAcentral's name for it is "HSALNT0295657". The record is from RNAcentral. Lineage: Eukaryota; Metazoa; Chordata; Mammalia; Primates; Hominidae.
ACUUUAGAAAAGCAUCUGGAUGCCCACGCCACCACCCUCCCAGCCACCUCUGAAGUUGCCAGGCUUCCCAACAUUCUUGUCUGUGAUAUUAAAGCCAUGACAGCAAACAGCCCCUUUCUCCUAAGGUUCCUGAUUUGAAGUGGCAAAACAAGGCAGUGGCAUAGUCUCCUGUCCUAUGUCCUUGGCAUGCAGUUGGCUUCAGGUCACAUGUUGCUCUGGAGAACCGAGAAGGGUGAGCAGACACCAAUCAUGACCCCAAACAGCAAGAGGACAGAAGGGAUCCCCCCUACUCCACAGCUUGACGGCAGAGCAGUGACCAGAAUAUAUGCUCAGGAAGGCCAAAGAGAUGAAGCCGCAGCUGCCUCUUUUUUUUUUUUGAGACAGUCUCAUUCUGUUGCCCGGGCUGGAGUGCAGUGGUGCGAUCUCGGCUCACUGUAACCUCCACCUCCCAGGUUCAAGCAAUUCUCGUACCUCAGCCUCCCAGGUAGCUGGAACUAUACAGGUGUACCAUCACACCCGGCUAAUUAUUUUUUGUCUUUUUUUGUAGAGAUGGGGUUUCGCCAUGUUGGUCAGGCUGGUCUCGAACUCCUGGCCUCAGGUGAUCCACGCACCUCCGCCUCCCAAAGUCCUGGGAUUAGAGGCGUGAGCCACCGUGCCCAGCCAGGCUUGCUUCUCUGAGCCAUACCCUUCUGUUGGAACAAGCAUCCUUUCUAUUAAAAGCAAUAAAUCUCCUCUUAUUUAAGUGGCAGAUGGUUUAGAUUGUUACUUUUGCUUUCAGCGAUCCUCUAGAAAAAGAAGGAACUUUAAGGUUGAGAACUAACUUCUAGCAGCUAUGCAGAAGUUCUGAGAGGUGACUCGUGUUUUUUACAUCAAGACCUCCACAAAGGCCCCUUCUGUCAUUGAGUCAAAGUUCUAGCGACCUAGGUUCAUCCUCAAAUGUGUAAUGAAAACCUGUAAAUCACUUGGACUCC